AGUGAACGCUGGCGGUAGGCCUAACACAUGCCAGUCGAACGGCAGCACAGUAAGAGCUUGCUCUUACGGGUGGCGAGUGGCGGACGGGUGAGGAAUACAUCUGAAUCUACUUUUUCGUGGGGGAUAACGUAGGGAAACUUACGCUAAUACCGCAUACGACCUACGGGUGAAAGCAGUGGAUCUUCGGACCUUGCGCGAUUGAAUGAGCCGAUGUCGGAUUAGCUAGUUGGCGGGGUAAAGGCCCACCAAGGCGACGAUCCGUAGCUGGUCUGAGAGGAUGAUCAGCCACACUGGAACUGAGACACGGUCCAGACUCCUACGGGAGGCAGCAGUGGGGAAUAUUGGACAAUGGGCGCAAGCCUGAUCCAGCCAUACCGCGUGGGUGAAGAAGGCCUUCGGGUUGUAAAGCCCUUUUGUUGGGAAAGAAAAGCAGCAGGUUAAUACCCCGCUGUUCUGACGGUACCCAAAGAAUAAGCACCGGCUAACUUCGUG
Molecule: ribosomal RNA, 492 nt
Filed under: uncultured bacterium
Lineage: Bacteria
Description: partial 16S ribosomal RNA
Rfam family: Bacterial small subunit ribosomal RNA
Source: RNAcentral